UAGGGAAUAUUGGACAAUGGACGCAAGUCUGAUCCAGCCAUCCCGCGUGAAGGAUUAAGGCCCUCUGGGUUGUAAACUUCUUUUCUUUGGGAAUAAAAAGCGGAAUUCUUUUCGCCUUGAAGGUACCAGAGGAAUAAGCACCGGCUAACUCCGUGCCAGCAGCCGCGGUAAUACGGAGGGUGCAAGCGUUAUCCGGAUUCACUGGGUUUAAAGGGUGCGUAGGUGGUCUGAUAAGUCAGCGGUGAAAGCCUGGAGCUCAACUCCAGAAUUGCCAUUGAUACUGUCAGACUUGAAUCAAGUUGAGGUGGAUGGAAUAUUACAUGUAGCGGUGAAAUGCUUAGAUAUGUAAUAGAACACCAAUUGCGAAGGCAGUUCACUAAGCUUGCAUUGACACUGAGGCACGAAAGCGUGGGGAUCAAACAGG
This 424-nucleotide ribosomal RNA is filed under the name uncultured bacterium. Its description in RNAcentral is "bacterial SSU rRNA". It matches the Rfam family "Bacterial small subunit ribosomal RNA", at positions 355 to 776 of the family's 1533-position model. The record is from RNAcentral.